UACGUAGGGGGCGAGCGUUGUCCGGAGUUACUGGGCGUAAAGAGCCCGCAGGCGGUCGUGUCAGUUCAGACUGACAGCUCCCAGCUUCACUGGGAGAGGCGUAUGAAGACGGCACGACUUGAGCGAUAGAGAGGGACAGGGAAUUCCGGGUGGAGUGGUGAAAUGCGUAGAUAUCCGGAGGAACACCAAAGGCGAAGGCACUGUCCUGGCUAUCUGCUGACGCUCAGGGGCGAAAGCGAGGGGAGCGAACGGG
RNAcentral lists this ribosomal RNA (253 nucleotides) under uncultured bacterium. RNAcentral's name for it is "partial 16S ribosomal RNA". It matches the Rfam family "Bacterial small subunit ribosomal RNA", at positions 524 to 776 of the family's 1533-position model. The record is from RNAcentral.